Molecule: long non-coding RNA, 2984 nt
Organism: Apis florea (little honeybee)
Lineage: Eukaryota; Metazoa; Arthropoda; Insecta; Hymenoptera; Apidae
Source: RefSeq, a predicted model, not a curated record
AAUCGAAUGGUGGCCGAGACGAAGGGUUAAUAAGAAUUCAAUCUAUCGAAAUUAUCGCAACUAUUGCGCUAGCUACCUGUUACGCUCUUCUAUUUCCGUUCGAUUCCACUGGAAUAAUUAAAAAUGGCCGCUCCCAGAGGGUUGCGAACCCCUUCGAGAGCUCGACAAUGGAGGCAUCUGCGCCAUUGAAAACAACGCUCGUUUGCGUCCACGCUGCAUUCCACCCCCUUGUAUUAUUGCUGCGUGUAAGCGGUCGCGUUAAUUGCGUUUAAACCAAGGGGGGAGGAGGCUGUGUGUGUGUGUGUGUGUGUGUGUGUGUGUGUGGCUCGGUCGUUUUCGACGAAUACAAGGACUGGAAUUAUUGGAUGCGGGUGUUAACAGCGUUUGAAUUUUGUUCGUUGAAGAAAGGAAAGUUGGAUUUGAGCGUAGUUGUUUUAGUUGGAAAAGUGCAAAGUGUGGAUAAUUGAUUCGAGGAAGAAGGGAAAAUAAAUUAUAAUUGAUAUAUUUGAAUAUUUAUAACAAAAUUUUGCAGGUAAAUGUAAAUAUUAUUUACAUUACUGUAUUGUAUCUAGAUCUGUUAGAAAGGUGGAAGAUUGUGGCUUAAUAAGAAGAUUAUUAUAUUAGUGUGAAAAGGAAGCGAAAACAAUUGCGUUUCGUUAACGAAGUGAUUACGAUUCUAUUAAUUUUUUGAAUGGACCAAGUAUCAACAGUGCCAAUUCAAUCGUAAGAAAUUAUUAUCGGUACAAUGAAGAAAGUGACGAUCGAUAUAUAACGAGUAACGUAAAUAAGAAAAAGAUUGAAUGAAACGUGGCAAACAAGAAUUUUAAUUAAUUUACAUAUCGCAUCAAAAGGAAUCGAGAGAAAGGGGAUGGUUAAGAAAGAAAGAAAAUGGUUGGAAAAAGCAUCUUCUCACGUUUCCUUCCUUAAACACAAAGAAAAACUCGUGUUCAUCCUCGCUCUUAUCGAACAAAUUAUUGGUUGUUUUGCGAAGAACGAAAGAAGGAAUAGAUCAGCCAGUAAUCUCUGAUGAUUUAAUUACAGCUCCAUAAUUGACCGUUCAACUGGCUAACUCCUCCAGCUUCACGCUUCUCCCCGGAACAAAUUUAACGAUGCGAACUUUUUCUCUCACUUUUCUCUUUCUUUCCAAGUAGCUUGGAACGUGUGAAAAUAAAAAACACAAACAGUGAUAUAAAAUAUUUUGCCUCGUGUCAUAUCUCUUUACAAAAGUACGCAGUAAAUUAGAUCUCUCACGUUAUAUUUUAAAUAACUAUUUUAUAUUUUAUAUUAUGGAGAAAGAAUAAACGAAGACUCUUUCCAUUCCGACGUAGGUUUCUAACAAUUGCAAAGAAAUAUAAAAAUUGUAUACAAAACAUAUAAUGGAAAAUUAACACACGAAGAAGACGAUCGUUGUGCAGGUAACAGGAGAAACGUAAUGAAUAUUUUUGCAAGAUAUCGUUAUAUGUACUGGCUUUGUGACCAUGCAGGCACGCGAUACAAUACGUGCAAGACGAACGAGUGACGUAAACGUAGUGCACAACGGUUCUGUUUUCUCGUUCACCGAGCGUAAUUGCACUGUUUGCGAAUCAAGAAUACGAGUGCGUGUGCAUACGUGUUCGCGUUAAUUGCCCAUACCUUGAUCCAUUAUGUGAAAUGAAUGUACUUUGAACUGCACACGUGUAUGUAUAUAUAUAUAGAUGAAUAAUGAAUAUCAAAGGAUACCAAAUGUUAAAUAAUAUAUAGAAAUCUUUGUACGUGCGAGAAUCGAAAAAGUAAGGAAAAAGUUUAUAGAGAUUGAAGACUAUUGAAUAAAUAACAAAAAUCAAAUUCGUUUAAAUUUUUGUCGAAAGUGGUUUCCCUCGAAUUUUUCAAACGAUUUCUAUCCCUAGAAAUUUCCAAAAGAUUUAUGAGACACCAAAAUGACGGCUGUUUGGUAAAAUUCACAAGUUUCGAGAUUUUUUCGAGUCGACAUUGGGAUAAAACGAGCACGGGUUUUUAAUGUUUCAAAUUCUUAUGAAUAAAGGAUGAACAGGUGGAAAAGUUGUAUCGUGGCGGUCGAUGGAAAGAAACAUUUUUCAGGGACAUCACUAUCGUUCCAUUUAUCGUAGCGCGGUAUACCUACUCGGUAUAAAACGAAAUGAUUGCGAUUUAGUUAGAAAUCUUGCUAUUUUCAGCGUACAACUCUUCUAGGAAUUUCGAAUAAUUAAAUAAAAUAUUAUUAUUAUUAUUAUUAUUUUAUAUAUAUAUAUAUAUAUAACACGAAAAGUAUGAUUGUAAUUAACGAUAAUUAUUUCGCGUGUUUCAGUCGAUAAGUGAAAGCGGUUUUUUCCAAGACGAUAAAAUAUACGAUGCAUGGAUUCUAUAUAUUAACAGUUUGCAAUGAGGAUCAACGCUAUGAGACGAAAUCCUCGAUUUAUAAGCACGAUCCACGCAGCCUGUGCAACAGACAACCAUCUUAAUUAAGUUUAUCUUCGUUAAAGGCCCGAUUCGAUGUUUCCUGUGCACAUCCGCCCGAUUGCAGCGCCCCUAUUGCAUUCCUCGAUUCGCGUCCUCCAUUAUCGACUCGUUUCGAUCGUGGAUAUAACUCAGAUCGAUCAAUUUCGAUAUUCUUCCUUUUUCGAGUGCAAUUUGAACGAACGAAAAUUUGUUUGGACGUGAUCACUAACAGAAAAUAAUACCAUUUCCUUGGAAUAAUGGAGGAUACUUGUUUCGGAUUUUGCAAGAAAAAAGUGUUCUAUUCUGGUAAUGCUGCUGUUACGAGAAUUGACGAUCAGCAUGGAAUGACCAUGAUGACCAACGUGAAGUUACCUUGGAUACAGGAAGUGACGUCGAUCGUCUACGAUAUCGAAGAUCGAUUUAAGAGGAGAUGUUUUUGGAACCAGACAACGCGAUGCCUCACCUCCACUCUGUGUAUAAUUAUAAAUAUUGUAUUGUACAAUAAAUAUUGUAAAUAAUUGUAAAUAAAAUGAAAUAAAGUUGUGAAAAUA